RNAcentral lists this long non-coding RNA (1318 nucleotides) under Pan troglodytes (chimpanzee). Its description in RNAcentral is "long non-coding RNA NONPTRT014714". The record is from RNAcentral. Lineage: Eukaryota; Metazoa; Chordata; Mammalia; Primates; Hominidae.
CAUACCUGUAUAUGUGUAUGUGAUAUGUAUAUAUAUCAACUGUAUAGUUAAAACACCAUAUGUAUAGAAGAGACCAUCUGACUAGUAUUUAAGCUUAGCCAUGAGAAUGGAAUUUGGAAGAUGAAGAAUGUGACCUGGAGGAAAGAAGAAAAUGAUUACAGAGGGGCAUUUGAGAGUGAGAGGAUAGAGAAGAGAGAAAGAGGUUGAGGAAAGAAGAUAUCAGAGUCCCCUCACUGCCCUCCCCAUUAACACACUCAAGGCUAAGCUAGUGAGGGGAGAGUAUCUUUGGGAUACUGGACAAAAUAUGGAAUUCCAAGAACCAGGAAGCUUUUGUCUUAUUCUAAAAGGACAUAACUUGCAGGCUGUCUCCAGAUCAAUUGAGUGGUAGAUCCAUAUUACAAAUAAACAUGAUAGCAGAGUGUGAUUAGGCAGAAGAAGGUGCAUCUCAGCACCUCCUUCUGUGUAAUGUGGAAAUGAGCAGCUAUUGUAGUGGGAAUGAGCAACUCCACAGUAAAGGCAUUAGGCUGUGCCAUCUGGGCAGUGGAUGACACAGAUAUCAGUGUGUGGCUGGGGUCUGAAGCCUGUUCAGUGUCAAGAUGAGCCUAAGUCAUCCAGAAAGGCUGAUGAAGUCAGCAAAAGUCAGCCAGACAAAGGGCACUGUCAAGGCCAUCAUAUGGAUCUAAGCAUCCCUUUUCCCACCUCCUCAAGAGCACCAAGAAAGACACAAACAUCCAUUGCCAAUUUCCUUCUCCUUGCCAGUAGGGAGGCUGAAAAAAAAAACACAUACUCUCUUUCUAUUAAUAUAUCUUCCUUAUAGAGUAGGAUGGAUAUUUGGCUAAGUAUUGAUCAAUAAGAUAAAGUGGAAUUUGCUGGGUGGCAGGCGGGGGUCCUUUGUGUAAUAAUUUUGUGUCUUGAUAAGGUAGGAAUAUGGCUGGGACCAUCCCUGACUCUCUUUUUUCCUUGAAUGUGAACACAUGAGUGAAGCAUACAUCCAUUGUCCAUGGAGCAAGAAACAUGAGGAUGAAAAGCCAAUAUGUUAAGGACAUGAAGUGAAAAGUGGGAAGAGCUUCUUAUUCAUGUUAUCACUGAGCAGCGGGAACUGGGGGCUCUGCUCAUUAUAGUUGCCCACGGCCUCCAGUCAAUGAAAUUUCCGGCCAAUGAAAUGCUCUACUGUGACUGAAGCAGCAAAGGGAAGAUGGGUGGCUUUGAAAUCAGAAUUGGAUGCAGAGGGAGUCCCAGAGGCCAACACUGUGAACAUAAGAAGGGAAAGACCAGUUCUGCAAGCACAGAUGAAAUUUUGAGAAGCAGAGCUACAGGU